AGAGGGGGCAAGCGUUGUUCGGAAUUACUGGGCGUAAAGGGCGCGUAGGCGGCCUUCUAAGUCGAACGUGAAAUCCCUGGGCUCAACCCAGGAACUGCGUCCGAGACUGGGAGGCUAGAAUCCGGGAGAGGGAUGUGGAAUUCCAGGUGUAGCGGUGAAAUGCGUAGAUAUCUGGAGGAACAUCGGUGGCGAAGGCGGCAUCCUGGACCGGUAUUGACGCUGAGGCGCGAAAGCCAGGGGAGCAAACGGGAUUAGAUACCCCGGUAGUCCUGGCCCUAAACGAUGAAUGCUUGGUGUGGCGGGUAUCGAUCCCUGCCGUGCCGAAGCUAACGCAUUAAGCAUUCCGCCUGGGGAGUACGGUCGCAAGGCUG
This 371-nucleotide ribosomal RNA is filed under the name uncultured bacterium. RNAcentral describes it as "bacterial SSU rRNA". It matches the Rfam family "Bacterial small subunit ribosomal RNA", at positions 527 to 896 of the family's 1533-position model. The record is from RNAcentral.